This 491-nucleotide ribosomal RNA is filed under the name uncultured bacterium. RNAcentral's name for it is "partial 16S ribosomal RNA". It matches the Rfam family "Bacterial small subunit ribosomal RNA", at positions 29 to 507 of the family's 1533-position model. The record is from RNAcentral.
GUGCACGCUGGCGGUAGGCCUAACACAUGCAAGUCGAACGGCAGCACAGUAAGAGCUUGCUCUUACGGGUGGCGAGUGGCGGACGGGUGAGGAAUACAUCGGAAUCUACUUUUUCGUGGGGGAUAACGUAGGGAAACUUACGCUAAUACCGCAUACGACCUACGGGUGAAAGCAGGGGAUCUUCGGACCUUGCGCGAUUGAAUGAGCCGAUGUCGGAUUAGCUAGUUGGCGGGGUAAAGGCCCACCAAGGCGACGAUCCGUAGCUGGUCUGAGAGGAUGAUCAGCCACACUGGAACUGAGACACGGUCCAGACUCCUACGGGAGGCAGCAGUGGGGAAUAUUGGACAAUGGGCGCAAGCCUGAUCCAGCCAUACCGCGUGGGUGAAGAAGGCCUUCGGGUUGUAAAGCCCUUUUGUUGGGAAAGAAAAGCAGCAGGCUAAUACCCCGCUGUUCUGACGGUACCCAAAGAAUAAGCACCGGCUAACUUCGUG